GCCCAGCUGGCUCAGUUGGUGGAGCAUGUGACUGCUAAUCUCAAGGUCAUGAGUUCAAGCCCCACGUUGGGUG
RNAcentral lists this transfer RNA (73 nucleotides) under Ailuropoda melanoleuca (giant panda). It matches the Rfam family "tRNA". From Rfam's summary of the family: Transfer RNA (tRNA) molecules are approximately 80 nucleotides in length. Their secondary structure includes four short double-helical elements and three loops (D, anti-codon, and T loops). Lineage: Eukaryota; Metazoa; Chordata; Mammalia; Carnivora; Ursidae. The record is from Rfam by way of RNAcentral.